RNAcentral lists this ribosomal RNA (487 nucleotides) under uncultured bacterium. Its description in RNAcentral is "bacterial SSU rRNA". It matches the Rfam family "Bacterial small subunit ribosomal RNA", at positions 28 to 530 of the family's 1533-position model. The record is from RNAcentral.
GACGAACGCUGGCGGCGUGCCUAACACAUGCAAGUCGAACGGAGAUAUGAUUUCGGUUAUAUCUUAGUGGCGAACGGGUGAGUAACGCGUGAGCAACCUGACUCUUAGAGGGGGGAUAACACCCGGAAACGAGUGCUAAUACCGCAUAAGACCACGACAUGGCAUCAUGACGAGGUCAAAGGAGCAAUCCGCUGAGAGAGGGGCUCGCGUCCCAUUAGAUAGAUGGCGGGGUAACGGCCCACCAUGUCAGCGAUGGGUAGCCGAGCUGAGAGGCUGAUCGGCCACACUGGAACUGAGACACGGUCCAGACUCCUACGGGAGGCAGCAGUGGGGAAUAUUGGGCAAUGGGCGCAAGCCUGACCCAGCAACGCCGCGUGAGGGAGAAGGCUUCGGGUUGUAAACCUCUGUCCUUGGUGACGAAAAAAUGACGGUAGCCAAGGAGGAAGCCCCGGCUAACUACGUGCCAGCAGCCGCGGUAAUCUAGUCU